CGAGAGCAAGCGGACCUCAUAAAGUGCGUCGUAGUCCGGAUUGGAGUCUGCAACUCGACUCCAUGAAGUCGGAAUCGCUAGUAAUCGUGGAUCAGAAUGCCACGGUGAAUACGUUCCCGGGCCUUGUACACACCGCCCGUCACACCAUGGGAGUGGGUUGCAAAAGAAGUAGGUAGCUUAACCUUCGGGAGGGCGCUUACCACUUUGUGAUUCAUGACUGGGGUGAAGUCGUAACAAGGUAACCGUAGGGGAACCUGCGGUUGGAUCAC
RNAcentral lists this ribosomal RNA (269 nucleotides) under Escherichia coli. Its description in RNAcentral is "partial 16S ribosomal RNA". It matches the Rfam family "Bacterial small subunit ribosomal RNA", at positions 1258 to 1526 of the family's 1533-position model. The record is from RNAcentral. Lineage: Bacteria; Pseudomonadati; Pseudomonadota; Gammaproteobacteria; Enterobacterales; Enterobacteriaceae.